CACUCACACCAAACGAAAUGACGGAUAAUGUAAUAAUGAUGAUCCAAUAAGAAAUCGAAAAACGUGUCCCUGGCUUUUCCAUCAUCAUAUUAUUUGUACCGUAUCUUUCCCCUUUCUUCUA
RNAcentral lists this non-coding RNA (121 nucleotides) under Fragilariopsis kerguelensis. The record is from RNAcentral. Lineage: Eukaryota; Bacillariophyta; Bacillariophyceae; Bacillariales; Bacillariaceae.